This 493-nucleotide ribosomal RNA is filed under the name uncultured bacterium. RNAcentral's name for it is "partial 16S ribosomal RNA". It matches the Rfam family "Bacterial small subunit ribosomal RNA", at positions 29 to 523 of the family's 1533-position model. The record is from RNAcentral.
AUUGAACGCUGGCGGCAUGCUUUACACAUGCAAGUCGAACGGUAACAGGUUAAGCUGACGAGUGGCGAACGGGUGAGUAAUGCAUCGGAACGUGCCCGGUCGUGGGGGAUAACGCAGCGAAAGCUGCGCUAAUACCGCAUACGAUCUGAGGAUGAAAGCGGGGGACCGUAAGGCCUCGCGCAAUCGGAGCGGCCGAUGUCAGAUUAGGUAGUUGGUGGGGUAAAGGCUCACCAAGCUGACGAGCUGUAGCUGGUCUGAGAGGACGACCAGCCACGCUGGGACUGAUGCACGGCCCGGACUCCUACGGGAGGCAGCAGUGGGGAAUUUUGGACAAUGGGCGCAAGCCUGAUCCAGCAAUGCCGCGUGCAGGAAGAAGGCUUUCGGGUUGUAAACUGCUUUUGUACGGAGCGAAAAGGCUCUCUCUAAUACAGGGGGCUCAUGACGGUACCGUAAGAAUAAGCACCGGCUAACUACGUGCCAGCAGCAGCCGCCG